UGGGGAAUAUUGCACAAUGGGCGAAAGCCUGAUGCAGCAACGCCGCGUGCGGGAAGACAGCCCUAGGGUUGUAAACCGCUUUCAGCAGGGAAGAAACUGACGGUACCUGCAGAAGAAGAUGCGGCCAACUACGUGCCAGCAGCCGCGGUGACACGUAGGCAUCAAGCGUUAUCCGGAUUUAUUGGGCGUAAAGAGCUCGUAGGCGGUUCGGUAAGUCGGGUGUGAAAACUCUGGGCUCAACCCAGAGAGGCCACUCGAUACUGCUGUGACUAGAGUGCGGUAGGGGGAGCGGGGGAAUUCCUGGUGUAGCGGUGAAAUGCGCAGAUAUCAGGAGGGAACACCAGUGGCGAAGGCGCCGCUCUGGGGCCGUAACUGACGCUGAGGAGCGAAAAGCAUGGGUAGCAAAACAGGAUUAGAUACCCUGGUAGUCCAUGCCGUAAAACGUUGGGCACUAGGUGUGGGUCUCAAACCAACGAGAUCCGCGCCGUCGCU
RNAcentral lists this ribosomal RNA (492 nucleotides) under uncultured bacterium. Its description in RNAcentral is "bacterial SSU rRNA". It matches the Rfam family "Bacterial small subunit ribosomal RNA", at positions 355 to 853 of the family's 1533-position model. The record is from RNAcentral.